UACGUAGGGUGCAAGCGUUGUCCGGAAUUAUUGGGCGUAAAGAGCUCGUAGGCGGUUUGUCGCGUCUGCUGUGAAAACUCGGGGCUUAACCCCGGGCCGCAGUGGGUACGGGGCAGACUAGAGUGCGGUAGGGGGAGACUGAAAUUCCUGGUGUAGCGGUGAAAAUGCGCAGAUAUCAGGAGGAACACCGGUGGCGAAGGCGGGUCUCUGGGCCGUAACUGACGCUGAGGAGCGAAAAGCGUGGGGGAGCGAAACAGGG
This 259-nucleotide ribosomal RNA is filed under the name uncultured bacterium. RNAcentral's name for it is "partial 16S ribosomal RNA". It matches the Rfam family "Bacterial small subunit ribosomal RNA", at positions 524 to 777 of the family's 1533-position model. The record is from RNAcentral.